This 304-nucleotide ribosomal RNA is filed under the name Arthrobacter sp. RT-1. RNAcentral describes it as "bacterial SSU rRNA". It matches the Rfam family "Bacterial small subunit ribosomal RNA", at positions 31 to 334 of the family's 1533-position model. Lineage: Bacteria; Bacillati; Actinomycetota; Actinomycetes; Micrococcales; Micrococcaceae. The record is from RNAcentral.
GAACGCUGGCGGCGUGCUUAACACAUGCAAGUCGAACGAUGAUCCGGUGCUUGCACCGGGGAUUAGUGGCGAACGGGUGAGUAACACGUGAGUAACCUGCCCUUAACUCUGGGAUAAGCCUGGGAAACUGGGUCUAAUACCGGAUAUGACCUUCCAUCGCAUGGUGGUUGGUGGAAAGCUUUUUGUGGUUUUGGAUGGACUCGCGGCCUAUCAGCUUGUUGGUGAGGUAAUGGCUUACCAAGGCGACGACGGGUAGCCGGCCUGAGAGGGUGACCGGCCACACUGGGACUGAGACACGGCCCAG